UUUUAUCCAACCGUUUUAAUUAUUAAUUUCUGAGGUUUUUUUAUUUUUAAACAGAAUUUAUGGAAUAAGUGAUGCUUGCUCCAAGCUUGCUUCGAACUUCAAACCAGCCCCAAGUGUUCCAUGUUCCAUGUUCGAUGUUCGAUGUUUGAUGUUCGAGAGGGGACUGUGUUUGUGGAUUCCAUUUGACUCAAGAGUGGAAAUGAUAUUAUUUUAAUACAAAAAAAUAACAAAAAAAUAUGUAAAAAAAAUCGUAUAACAAAUAACAAUGGUUUGAAAUAUUUAGCAAAGUUUAGACUAUAGUUUCUGUAUUUUUAAUCGAACUAAAGGGUAAGACUCGCGUCCGCAAGUCCCCCAAAAACUGGAAGAUACUUUAGUGCUUUUAUUUUUUUAGCUCCAGUAUGGGUGAACCGGUUGGACAGGAUGCAGGAGCUGGAGGAGAGCCAGCCAAAAUGCUACCAAAACAAAGCAAAACAACAACAACAACAACAACAACAAC
This is a long non-coding RNA of Drosophila ananassae, 496 nucleotides long. RefSeq lists it as uncharacterized. NCBI's taxonomy places the organism in Eukaryota, Metazoa, Arthropoda, Insecta, Diptera, Drosophilidae. The record is from RefSeq and is a predicted model, not a curated record. The transcript is spliced from 2 exons.